This 100-nucleotide signal recognition particle RNA is filed under the name Terriglobia bacterium. Its description in RNAcentral is "signal recognition particle sRNA small type". It matches the Rfam family "Bacterial small signal recognition particle RNA". Rfam says of the family: The signal recognition particle (SRP) is a universally conserved ribonucleoprotein involved in the co-translational targeting of proteins to membranes. The record is from RNAcentral. Lineage: Bacteria; Pseudomonadati; Acidobacteriota; Terriglobia.
GCCCGAGCCCUGUGCACUGCGGUUCCGUGAACCCCGCCAGGCCCGGAAGGGAGCAACGGUAAGCGGUCCGCCGCAGGUGCCGCAGGUCUACUUGGGCCCC